GAUGAACGCUAGCGGGAGGCUUAAUACAUGCAAGUCGAGGGGUAACGAUGGUGCUUGCACCAGGCGACGACCGGCGAACGGGUGAGUAACGCGUACACAAUCUACCUUCAAGUGGGGAAUAGCCCUGGGAAACUGGGAUUAAUGCCCCAUAGUAUUACCGAGUAAUAUGACAUGGUAAUUAAAGUUUCGACGCUUGAAGAUGGGUGUGCGUCCCAUUAGCUAGUUGGUGAGGUAACGGCUCACCAAGGCGACGAUGGGUAGGGGGCGUGAGAGCGUGGUCCCCCACACGGGUACUGAGACACGGACCCGACUCCUACGGGAGGCAGCAGUAAGGAAUAUUGGACAAUGGGCGCAAGCCUGAUCCAGCCAUCCCGCGUGUAGGAUGACUGCCCUAUGGGUUGUAAACUACUUUUAGAUAGGAAGAAACCCCCGCGUUCACGCGGGGCUGACGGUACUAUCAGAAUAAGCACCGGCUAACUCCG
RNAcentral lists this ribosomal RNA (482 nucleotides) under uncultured Saprospiraceae bacterium. RNAcentral's name for it is "bacterial SSU rRNA". It matches the Rfam family "Bacterial small subunit ribosomal RNA", at positions 28 to 505 of the family's 1533-position model. Lineage: Bacteria; Pseudomonadati; Bacteroidota; Saprospiria; Saprospirales; Saprospiraceae. The record is from RNAcentral.